RNAcentral lists this ribosomal RNA (822 nucleotides) under Pimoa sp. X131. RNAcentral's name for it is "SSU rRNA". It matches the Rfam family "Eukaryotic small subunit ribosomal RNA", at positions 964 to 1804 of the family's 1831-position model. The record is from RNAcentral. Lineage: Eukaryota; Metazoa; Arthropoda; Arachnida; Araneae; Pimoidae.
UGGUUUCCAUUAAUCAAGAACGAAAGUUAGAGGUUCGAAGGCGAUCAGAUACCGCCCUAGUUCUAACCAUAAACGAUGCCAGCCAGCGAUCCGGCUGUGUUCCUCAAAUGACACGCCGGGCAGCUUCCGGGAAACCAAAGCUUUUGGGUUCCGGGGGAAGUAUGGUUGCAAAGCUGAAACUUAAAGGAAUUGACGGAAGGGCACCACCAGGCAUGGAGCCUGCGGCUUAAUUUGACUCAACACGGGAAAACUUACCCGGCCCGGACACAGGAAGGAUUGACAGAUUAAGAGCUCUUUCUUGAUUCUGUGGGUGGUGGUGCAUGGCCGUUCUUAGUUGGUGGAGCGAUUUGUCUGGUUAAUUCCGAUAACGAACGAGACUCUAGCCUACUAAAUAGACGUUCCGAUCCUUCGAGUCGGACGUUCUUCUUAGAGGGACAAGCGGCUUUUAGCCGCACGAGACAGAGCAAUAACAGGUCUGUGAUGCCCUUAGAUGUCCGGGGCCGCACGCGCGCUACAUUGAAGGAAUCAGCGUGUGCUUUCCCUGUCCGACAGGACUGGGUAACCCGUUGAACCUCCUUCGUGCUGGGGAUAGGGGCUUGUAAUUGUUCCCCUUGAACGAGGAAUGCCCAGUAAGCACGAGUCAUAAGCUCGUGUUGAUUAAGUCCCUGCCCUUUGUACACACCGCCCGUCGCUACUACCGAUUGAAUGUUUUAGUGAGGUCUUCGGACUGGCGCCCGGAUUGGCCUCCGGGUCGAGCCGGCGUGCCGGAAAGAUGACCAAACUUGAACAUUUAGAGGAAGUAAAAGUCGUAACAAGGUUUCC